This 445-nucleotide ribosomal RNA is filed under the name uncultured bacterium. Its description in RNAcentral is "partial 16S ribosomal RNA". It matches the Rfam family "Bacterial small subunit ribosomal RNA", at positions 354 to 796 of the family's 1533-position model. The record is from RNAcentral.
GUGAGGAAUAUUGCGCAAUGGAGGCAACUCUGACGCAGCCAUGCCGCGUGCAGGAAGAAGGCGCUACGCGUUGUAAACUGCUUUUAACCGGGAAGAAACCCCAGGACGUGUCCUGGGUUGACGGUACCGGAGGAAUAAGCACCGGCUAACUUCGUGCCAGCAGCCGCGGUAAUACGAAGGGUGCAAGCGUUAUCCGGAUUCAUUGGGUUUAAAGGGUGCGUAGGCGGAGCGUUAAGUCAGUGGUGAAAUCCUGCAGCUUAACUGUAGACUUGCCAUUGAUACUGGCGCUCUUGAGGACGCUUGAAGUGGGCGGAAUGUGCCGUGUAGCGGUGAAAUGCUUAGAUAUGGCACAGAACACCAAUUGCGAAGGCAGCUCACUAAGGCGAUACUGACGCUGAGGCACGAAAGCGUGGGGAUCGAACAGGAUUAGAAACCCCUGUAGUCC